Molecule: long non-coding RNA, 420 nt
Filed under: Struthio camelus australis
Lineage: Eukaryota; Metazoa; Chordata; Aves; Struthioniformes; Struthionidae
Description: lncRNA (ENSSCUG00000018713.1)
Source: RNAcentral
AGUUACAUUUUAUUCCUGUUAUUUUUUAUUUUCACAUGUUUCUUCACCUGCAGGUUCUGGAAGAAGCUUCGAGAGGAAGUGCCAGAGUUUUGUUGGGGAAAGCUUACUGUCCCCAAAGGGUGAGAUUAUAAUGAUAGCAGCAUGCUCCUGCAGAACAAUCAGAGAUGAAGGGAACAGACAACAUGGAAGAGUUAACAGGAAGAAGGAAAAGAGGGCUGAGUGCCUUCAACACAGUGAAAUUUGGUGGAAGAGGAAGGCAGCCAGAACAAAGAGGCAACGCUGUAGAGGUCAGUGCUUUAUCUUAUGCUACUAAAAACACAAUUCUUCCCUUGGUCAAGAGUCAUUCAAUAAAAUAGUAUGUAAAGUAUUGGCAUGAAAACAUUAAUAAUAAACCACAGGAAUUGGUAAAGAAAUGAGUCA